Molecule: ribosomal RNA, 305 nt
Filed under: uncultured bacterium
Lineage: Bacteria
Description: bacterial SSU rRNA
Rfam family: Bacterial small subunit ribosomal RNA
Source: RNAcentral
AUCCUACGGGACGCAGCAGUGGGGAAUAUUGGACAAUGGGGGAAACCCUGAUCCAGCGACGCCGCGUGAGUGAAGAAGUAUUUCGGUAUGUAAAGCUCUAUCAGCAGGGAAGAAAAUGACGGUACCUGACUAAGAAGCCCCGGCUAACUACGUGCCAGCAGCCGCGGUAAUACGUAGGGGGCAAGCGUUAUCCGGAUUUACUGGGUGUAAAGGGAGCGUAGACGGCAUUGCAAGUCUGAUGUGAAAAUCCGGGGCCCAACCCCGGAACUGCAUUGGAAACUGUUUAUCUAGAGUGUCGGAGAGGC